UGAUCCUGGCUCAGAUUGAACGCUGGCGGCAGGCGUAACACAUGCAAGUCGAGCGGUAACAUUUCUAGCUUGCUAGAAGAUGACGAGCGGCGGACGGGUGAGUAAUGCUUGGGAAUAUGCCUUAGGGUGGGGGACAACAGUUGGAAACGACUGCUAAUACCGCAUAACGUCUACGGACCAAAGGGGGCUUCGGCUCUCGCCCUUAGAUUAGCCCAAGUGGGAUUAGCUAGUUGGUGAGGUAAUGGCUCACCAAGGCGACGAUCCCUAGCUGGUUUGAGAGGAUGAUCAGCCACACUGGAACUGAGACACGGUCCAGACUCCUACGGGAGGCAGCAGUGGGGAAUAUUGCACAAUGGGCGCAAGCCUGAUGCAGCCAUGCCGCGUGUGUGAAGAAGGCCUUAGGGUUGUAAAGCACUUUCAGUAAGGAGGAAAGGUUAGUAGUUAAUACCUGCUAGCUGUGACGUUACUUACAGAAGAAGCACCGGCUAACUCCGUGCCAGCAGCCGCGGUAAUACGGAGGGUGCGAGCGUUAAUCGGAAUUACUGGGCGUAAAGCGUACGCAGGCGGUUUGUUAAGCGAGAUGUGAAAGCCCCGGGCUCAACCUGGGAACUGCAUUUCGAACUGGCAAACUAGAGUAUGAUAGAGGGUGGUAGAAUUUCAGGUGUAGCGGUGAAAUGCGUAGAGAUCUGAAGGAAUACCGAUGGCGAAGGCAGCCACCUGGGUCAAUACUGACGCUCAUGUACGAAAGCGUGGGGAGCAAACGGGAUUAGAUACCCCGGUAGU
This 783-nucleotide ribosomal RNA is filed under the name uncultured marine bacterium. Its description in RNAcentral is "bacterial SSU rRNA". It matches the Rfam family "Bacterial small subunit ribosomal RNA", at positions 14 to 794 of the family's 1533-position model. The record is from RNAcentral.